CUAAACACCGUUUUUAAAGGUAAAUGGGCAGGGUAUGGGAAUUGUGAAUUGCAUCCAUUGUAAUAAGCCUGACAACCAGGGGCGUCUAGACCCCUUUUACUGUUGCACGUGCCCUAGUGUAAAUCUGUUGUACCCAUGUCCUAUGUUGUGCCUCAAGUUUAAGUUUUUAGUUUAUUUGCCAGUAUAUUCAUUGUUAAUCGCGGCAAAACUGAGCUAUAUGAACCGUAAUUCACGGUUGUAAACGCAGUGCCGUCCCACAAGACAAACUGGCGCGAGCACGCAGAAAUCGAUGUCCGCGAGCGGAGCGUCUGUGUUUACUUUUUGUAGCACUCAGCCGCCGCUCACUCAGAAGAGCAUGUGAGGCACGCGAGAAAACAUGACAAAACAAAA
Misgurnus anguillicaudatus (oriental weatherfish) is the source of this 390-nucleotide non-coding RNA. Lineage: Eukaryota; Metazoa; Chordata; Actinopteri; Cypriniformes; Cobitidae. The record is from RefSeq and is a predicted model, not a curated record.